This 23-nucleotide ribosomal RNA is filed under the name Tulasnella albida. RNAcentral describes it as "partial 18S ribosomal RNA". The record is from RNAcentral. Lineage: Eukaryota; Fungi; Basidiomycota; Agaricomycetes; Cantharellales; Tulasnellaceae.
GGAAACCUGCGGAAGGAUCAUAG